This 500-nucleotide ribosomal RNA is filed under the name uncultured bacterium. Its description in RNAcentral is "partial 16S ribosomal RNA". It matches the Rfam family "Bacterial small subunit ribosomal RNA", at positions 30 to 523 of the family's 1533-position model. The record is from RNAcentral.
AUUGAACGCUGGCGGAAUGCUUUACACAUGCAAGUCGAACGGCAGCACGGACUUCGGUCUGGUGGCGAGUGGCGAACGGGUGAGUAACAUAUCGGAACGUAUCCAAUAAUGGGGGAUAACGAGUCGAGAGAUUCGCUAAUACCGCAUACGCCCUACGGGGGAAAGCUGGGGACCUUCGGGCCUGGCGUUAAUGGAGCGGCCGAUAUCUGAUUAGCUAGUUGGUGAGGUAAAGGCUCACCAAGGCGACGAUCAGUAGCUGGUCUGAGAGGACGACCAGCCACACUGGAACUGAGACACGGUCCAGACUCCUACGGGAGGCAGCAGUGGGGAAGUUUGGACAAUGGGCGCAAGCCUGAUCCAGCCAUUCCGCGUGAGUGAAGAAGGCCUUCGGGUUGUAAAGCUCUUUCGCAAGGGAAGAAAACUUAGCCACUAACAUUGGUUGAGGUUGACGGUACCUUGAUAAGAAGCACCGGCUAACUACGUGCCAGCCGCCGCCGUAA